UUUCUUAUUUCCCAUGCUGUUAACUUUCUUUCUCUAUUCCGUUCAUCAUCAAUUCUUCACCAUCAUCAUCAAUCGCCCAAUUCAACACUUAUUCUCAGAAUCUUCAUCUUAGGCUGGCUUCCAAAUAUGAAUGAUAUUUUCUACAUUCAUGGUAGUUUGCUGAGAAGAUUUCAUCUAUUUAUCUAAUCUUCAUCGAAUUCGGCAACACCUUGAAUGUGGCAGCAUUGAUGUUCCAAUCGCAGCUUUAUGUGAGUCUCUCUUACUCUUCUUCCUUUUUUCCUCUGGCAACUUAUUAUUGUGUUGCGUGUGAGGUGUUUGAUAAUUUGACUCAAUGAAAUUUUACUCUAUUAUUUUGCAAUUGUGUGCUUAUCCAGGAAUUAGGUGGAUGAACUGUUAUUUCCGUAUUAGACGAUGCCACUGCCGUGUGAGUAUCUCCCAACAAAUUUGUUUAAAUUUCAAAAUGAUCCUUUAAAUUGAAAAUCUUCGUUCACGUAUGUGAUAUUUUGAACUCUCCACCGAUGCAAAGUGAGUCUGAAGGUAAAUAUUAUUGUCCCCCUUGUUUCCAUUAUGUCUGUAUGUUAUCUACAUCAAUAGGUAUGUACACACUGAAUAUAUAUAUACAGAAAAAUAAUUUUUGCUGCACCAACGGUAGAUAAAAGUGAAAUACUGGCUCUUGUAGGCGAUAAGAUGGAUUCUUUGAUCCUUUAUAAUCUAUGAUUAAAUGGUUGCGUUAUUGAUGAGUCAUAAUUAUGCAUUUCGCAUUGAACUUAGGAAUAAAACGAUUAAUUCUUAAAUCAAGUAGAACUUCUCUUUCAUGAAUGUUGUGUUCAAUAAUCGGUGAUUAGCUAUUUGAAAGUCAUCACUGCAUUUGUUGGUAUCAUAUGAAGUUGUCCAUGAUGGUGAUUAUGAUCUGUUCAAUUUUAGGGCUCAUUCUAUUUCUAUGCAUCCUGAUAACUUAUAUGGGCAUAUGCAGAAUUACUGAAGUGUCCACGAAAAUAGAACCAGUGCAGGAGAAAAAAUAAAGAGCUUAGCACAAAUAGGAUUUUUGAAGUUAUUUAGUGGUUGCCUUAUCGCAUUUGAAGGUUUGCAGGUUAUUUCUUUGUUUACCCUUUGAAUCUCUUUGAUAUUGCUGAAUAAUAACUGUAGUCUCUUAGAUAGAUCUACUCAAUAGAUAAAACUUGGACAAAGUAAAGUAUAUGCAAAAUCAGAACUCUACCAAAUCCACCAACUUCCAAUAGCCCCUUUUCCAUGAAACCCUUUGUAGCAAAGUAUAGAUCUUUGAACUUAAAUCUAUGAGGGCCAUAUUCAUGUUCCCAAUCUUCAAGAAUCUCAGCAAACAUCUUCCGUUUGAUAUAAUAUAUAACCCUAAAGUUAUCAUGAAUAGCGAACUAAGCAAAAUCAAAGGCAACCCAACAGUUAAAAAUUUAGACUUUUUUUUUUCUCAUCAAAUAUACUUAGCUCAGGAGCAAAUAUUCUUGGCUCAGGAAGUUCAGAGAUUUCAAGGUUUUGAGCUUGGCUAUUAACCUUAAAACUCCAACCAAGAAUAUAAUGAGAAGCUACAAUUAACCCUGUUGAAGAUGAGAAUCCAACAUACAUUCUAUUGUUGAGUAUUGGAGAAAGAUCUUUGGUCAAUGAUAACAAAGGUUGUGUUGGUUUAUCACUAAAACCAACACUAAUUGGAGCUAAAGUAACAUCAUAAUAUCCAUACCUGCAUAUCCACUGGAAAGGGAUAAAUUCCUGAAUCCAUAAUCAUCAUAAUAUCCUGCAGGAGUUGAAUUAGCUGAUUUCAAAUCAUUGAUAUCAAUACCAAUAUGGUUAUCAUUGAUUUCAUCAAACUCAAAAUUUUGAUCAGUGUCAAGCUCAAUACCAAAAACAUGGCUGCUACUGUUUCCAUUGUUGGAAUUGUUAGAGACCAAGGUAUUAAUAUUGUAGUGAAUUUGGUAGCCCUUUUGUAGGUGAAAUAACAAAAACAAUUCCAUGGCCACUAUGAGUUGGAUAUUAAGAUUUUAUAGCAAAUAAAGAAUUAGUUGAGAAAGAAGACACACUUUCACUGAGUGUUUUUGAAAACUAUAGGAUUUGGAUAGAAAGCAUUGCCAUCAAGAUAUAAAUGUGAUGAUUGGAAUCCACUUUAUUUAUAGAUAAAGCAACAUGAACACAAGUCUGAGGAACAUGAUUAUAGUUUGAGAAUGAAUCAUGCUUCUGUAGUUCUGUUCGAGUGUUCGGUGUUUAUUAUUUAUAAGAUUUUGUGCUAAGUGAAGGAAAAAUUGCAUGUCUAAUUCGGGUCCUACUAAGAAAUUUCCUAGAACCUAGCUACGAAUUAUUACUAAAAGAAACAUCACAUGGUUACUAAAAUUGCCUUAUCAUCUGGGUCCUACUAAGAAAUGUCUCAUUUAGUUUAGUGAAGAGAAUGUGUUAUACAUUUGAAUCACAAUUUUUUUUUAUUUUUUUUCCAACAGUAGUAGUGGGUGAAUGUUUUUUUAACAUUUACAUAUUAAGUGUUUGAUGCUAAAUUGAAUAUGUGAAAUUUAAUUAUCAAUGUGUUCUAAUUUCUUAGAAUAAGUAGUGUUUUUUUUUAAUCCUGAAUGUGUGGACUUGACCAGUUACUAUUGAUUAUUGAUUAUGCUUCAAAUCAAAUGAUGAAUGAAUAUGUGGUGGAAAGAUAAAAAGAUAUAUGUUGGUUUGACUCAAUUUCAUACUCACUCCGUCUCUAAAUAUAAGACUCCUCUACAAAUUACUAAAUACAUUUAUUGCUCUUUUUUUUCCAAUAUACUAUCAAUUUAUCUAAGAAUAUGAAAAUUAACUUUGAAUGCACUUUUAUAAAAAGGGUAAUUUAGAAAUAGUAACACACAUUUCAGACAAAUUUAUUACUCGAAAGACUUUUUUUAGUACCCGUGAUUUUUGUAAAGUGUUCUUCUAAAAAAGGAUGGAGGGAAAAUUUUUCUUCAUGCAAAAAUCAUGGUGAAAUUUCGAGCCACAUGUUCCAUCGGUCACAUGUGUUGGCAAAUUGCAGGGAGAUGGAGGCAAAUCACCGGGUAAUUUACUCGUGAUUGACAGCUAUAAAAUACAAUUUUAGACCUGGUUGUUUUGCAAUCUUUCUACUCUAAAGGAGUUAAGGAACUAAUAGGGUGAGGGUUGAGUGUUUUGCAUGAUAUUCUUAUGUUGGAAAACAUCAUGAGAUCUCAUUAGAGUAAAUAUCAAACUCUUUUUCUAGUUUUCUCCUUAGAUCUCAAUUUAGGUUUUAGUGACUUGAAAAAUGGAUAGAAAUUAGAGAUUGUUCUUAUUGUCUACAAGAAUGGUAAAGGUAUUCUUUACCUAGGGCUUUGGUCAAUUUACUCUCAAAUUGUUUCAAACAAACUAAUUUGGCUGAAAUUUUUUUAAUUUCAGGGAUCAUUUUAGAAGUAUGAGUAAUUUGGUUGAAAUUCUUUUAAUUUCAGGGAGAUGAAUGGAAAAUUGAAAUUUAUCACAGCAUUCGUUGGUAAAGUAUGAAGUCGUCCAUGAUAGUGAUUAUGAUGUGUUCAAUUUUAGGGCUCAUUCUAUACAUCCCGUUAACUUAAUCUUAUAUGUGCAUAUGCAGAACUACUGAAGUGUUGAAGAAAAUCGAACGAGUAAAGGAGAAAAGAUGAAGAGCUUGUUUGAGUCUUUAGAACAAAUAUAAUUUCUGAAGUUAUUUAGUGGUUGCCUUAUUGCAUUUGAGGUUUUGCAGGUUAUUUCUUAGUUUACCCUUUGAAUCUCUGUGAUAUUACUGAACAAUAAUUGUAGUCUCUCGUUUACUCAAAAUAGAUACAAACUUGGACGCAAUGAAGUAUAUACAAAAUCAAAACAAAAAAAGUUUAAUGAGAAAAUGAUUUUAUGUAACUAUUAAACCAUUUACUCAAACAUGAUUUCACUUUUUAGAUAACAAACUCUCUUUAAUCCUUUUUACCAAAAUUUAAUACAUUACAAAAUCAAAAUGCACCAAUUAAGCAUCAAUUAGACGUGUCUUUUGAAAUCAACGACCACCCGAGAGAACAGAUUCAGCAAUUAACGCUGAAGUAUAUGGCAUUCUCCUGUCCUCAACAAAUAAUUGGUACCCAAAAGUUAAACCAGAAGAAGAUAAACUAAGCGAAGAAAAAUCUGGCAAAGGUGUAUCCCUCUCCAAAUACUGUACAACUUGUCUCAUACUUGGUCUAGCCAAAGGCUCUGAAUGUGAACACAACAAGCCAAGUUUCAACACCAAUUCCACCUCUUCAGACACAUAAUUUGUUCCUAAAUGAACAUCUUUUGCCUCAAGAAUCUCACCUCUUUGCCAACAUUCAAACACAGAAUCAACUAGAAUUAGACUCUCAUUGUCUCCUACACGACCUAUAGGCCUCCUACCACAAACAACCUCAAGAAGAAAUGCACCAAAAGAAAACACAUCAGAAAAUUUAGUAGCCUUACCUCUUCUAAUAUGUUCAGGAGCAAGAUAACCAAUAGUUCCAGCCAAAUGAGUUGUGUGAGGAUCAGCACCAUGAUCAUGCAACCUUGAAAGACCAAAAUCUCCCAAUCUAGCAUUAAAUCCAGAAUCUAACAACACAUUACUAGCCUUUAUGUCUCUAUGAAUAACAACUUUCUCCCAUUCUUCAUGAAGAUAAACCACACCUGAAGCAACACCUUUGAUGAUUCUAAAUCUUUGACUCCAAUUCAACCUCACUUUUGGUUGGUUAUAUAGAUAGUUGUCUAAACUUCCAUUCGGCAUGUAAUCAUAAACCAAAAGUAACUCGCUUUUUCGCCUGCAAUAGCCAUGAAGUUGAACAAGAUUCCUGUGCCGAAGACGACCGAUACUAACAAUUUCCGACACAAAUUCCCUCAUCCCUUGUCUUGAUUCAUGAGACACCCUUUUCACAGCAACCUCAAGUUUGGAACUUUGUAUCACACCUUUGUAGACUCUACCAAAUCCACCAACUCCCAAUAGCCCCUUUUCCCUGAAACCCUUUGUGGCUGAGUAUAGAUCUUUGAACUUAAAUCUACGUGGGCCAUAUUCAUGUUCCCAAUCUUCAAGAACCUCAUCAAACUUCUUCAAUUUGACAUAAUACAUAACCCCUAAAGUUAUCAUGAAUACCAAACUUAGGAAAAUCAAUGGCAAUCCAACAGUUAAAAAUUUCGACUUUUUUUUCUCUGCAGGUAGUUUAGGAAGUUCAGAGAUUUCAAGGUUUUGAGCUUGACCAUUAACCUUAAAACUCCAACCAAGAAUAUACUGAGAAGCUACCAUUAACCCUGUUGAAGAUGAGAAUCCAACAUACAUUCUAUUGUUGAGAAUUGAAGAAAGAUCUUUGGUCAAUGAUAACAAAGGUUGUGUUGGUUUAUUACUAGCACCAACACUCAUUGGUGCUAAAGUAACAUCAAUCUUUUUCUUCACUCCAUCAUAUUCAAUCCAUACCUGCAUAGGGUAUCCACUGGAAAGGGAUAAAUCCUUGAAUUGACCAUAACCAUCAUAAUAUCCUGCAGGAGUUGAAUCAGCUGAUUUCAAAUCAUUGAUAUCAAUUCCAACAUGGUUAUCGUUGAUAUCAUCAAACUCAAAAUUUUGACGAGUGUCAAGCUCAACACCAAAAACAUGGUUGCUACUGUUUCCACUGUUGGAAUCGUUAAAGAGACCAAGGUAUUGACUUGGUAGUGAAUCUGGUAGCCCUUUUGUUGGAGAAAUAACAAAAACAAUUCCAUGGCCACCAAUAUUUGCAUAUUGAGGUAUUAUGGCAAAUAAAAAAGUAGUUGAGAAAGAAGACACGCUUUCACUGGAAGUGUUUUUGAAAACUAUUGGAUUUGGAUAGAAACCAUGUCCUUUGUCUCUUUCUGUAUCAUUGGUGAGUUUUAGUAAGCCAUUUGUAGUUAACUCAGCAAUACCAUCAAGAUAUAAAUGUGAUGAUUGGAAUCCAUUAUAUAUGAAACUGUUGUCUUCACUUGCAACCAAUGUAACAUGAAAAAACAACAUGAACACAUGUCUGAGGAACAUGAUUAUAGGUUGUGAAUAAUAAUGCUUAUACAGUUCGGUUCAUUGUUUCUUAUUUAUUAUUUUUUAUUUAUAAUAUUUUGUCCUAUUGCUAGUCUCAUUUGGGACCUACUAAUAAGUGUCCCUUUACCUAACUUAGCUACGUAUUAUCACCAAAAGAAACAUCAAAUCAAAUGGUUACUAAAAUUGCGUAUCUCAUUUGAGUCAAUUUAAGUGGUGGAAGGAUGGAUAAAGAUAAUGUUGGUUUUGACUAAAAUGACUGGGGCAGUUUUUAAAGGAGAUAAUUUUUAGGAAACUUGGAAGUUAAGAGUUGAGUUGGAAAGAUUCUUUCUUCCUCUAACAUAGGUCAUUUUGGGCCGAAUUAGGUAAACAAUUUGAAAAUCGCUCUUUAAGCUUGAAAAAUUGUUCUCUUGCACCUUAAAAUUUCAUUAAUACCCCCAACAGCAAUGAAUUAUCGUCGCUACCCAGCAGCAGUUAAUUGUCGUUCGGUCUUUUUGCAACCACAAUUGUGUUCAACUGCAGUUGCGUUCGAGACUUAUUCUAGAACAGUAACAACACGUGUUCUGGAUUUAUUUUAUAAAAGCAAAAAUAGUUAUCACUUUUGUUUGAAACACAAAACUCCAAUCUCACUCAAAUGAAUCUCAUCCAAUUUCUUUCAUCAAAAUCAAAAGUUAUCAACUAUUCUACAAGUAAGUGUUAAUAAUCUCUUCUAUUCACAUUGUUAGUUUUAUAUAAUUUUUUUUCCUUCAAAAUUUGGUGGAAAUGUUAGUGUUUAUGAUUGGAUAAAUUAUUGAUAUUUUGGGUAGUCUGUGAUCCUAUAUAUGCAUGUUUUGACUAUAAAUGUUGUUUAAACUAAAUUUAAGUUCAAUGUUGUAGUUUAAAAGUUGAAAUAACACAAUGAAUAAAUGUUGUAUAUUUUGUACUACAAGCGUUUGAUGAAAUGCUUGAAUGAGUUUUUCAUUGAUAUUUUUAUUGUCUUUUGUUGUGUAGAUAUGACUGAGAACCUACAUAUGCGUAAAGAGACCAUGACAAGCAGUUCCCGCAAGGAGAGAGUGACAGUGAACCCUACUAAAAUCUGCAUUUCCAACGAUGUACGUCACAAACUGCCAAUGCAUUUAACCAAAUUUUUAGCAUUCUUUCUAUUUAAUUAGUUUUUCUUAUACUUUGUCUAUUUGAUCUUUUUAUCAAUUUUAAUUAUUCAGAUAUAGAUUGUUUCUUUCUACAUCUGCUGCACAAUUCACAAAUCAUGAUUUUGAUGAUGUGAUCAUCAAGGUUGGCUAGGAUAAGAAGAUUUUUGCAUCUAGUAUAUAUCUUUGAAAUGGAGAUAACUUGAUUUCCUUUCCUUACAGUAUUUUUUUAUUUUUUUAAAUCAAGGAGUAACCUUUGCGCAAAUCCUUGACGAAUCCCACGGGGUAACUGAGAUCCAAUAAUCAACGAAUGAGCUAUUUUUUAUACACAUAGUCCAGGUACCCUAAAACAAAUGUUUAAGAGACUCAAAUAUCUACCACAGUACCAGUUAUGCCACAUAUAUUGGAUGUUUCUUUAGAAUGGAUGAUUUGUAUAGAAAAGCCGACUGCAAAGGAAAAUUCAAAUAAAAACUCGUGAAUUAAUAUGUUGAAGUGUGAUUUAACAAUAAAAAAUUUAUAAGCAAAGUAAAUUAAAUAAAAUGCCUAAAAAUCCAUCUAUUCCAAUCAACUAAAUACCUUUCUGCAAAUGUAAAAAUAAUUCAAAGCAGCUACGCAACGCGCAGGUCAAAAUCUAGUUAAUCACAUAAUGUCCAUGUAUUAUGUAUAUGUACACAUAAAUCAGUGUUUUAUACCAGUGCAUUGUGGCCGGUUUACAGAUUUCAGUUUGCAGAGUGUUAUAUAGCCAGUGCUGUCAAAUUUAGAGGCGCUAUAGUGCUGCCGAAUAGAAGAAUUUGACCAAAUUGCUAUUGUUCCGUAAUAAAGCCCUUUUGUACAAAAUGUUGUCAUUAAUAAUGGCUAUAGAAGCACUAUAGUACCGUACCAUAGUAGAAUUUGAACAAACCGCUAUGCUGCAACAUUCAACACUGGUUAUAUAGUCACUGGUCAGUUAUGGUAUUUCCGGCUCGUAUUGACAUUUUUUGGCACCCCCACUGGUUGUUAGCAUUUUCGACUACUCAGCCUCAACCACACACAUUCUUCUUCUUCUUAAUCCUUUGUAUACUCAUUUGUUCAUACUUCUCUUUGCAACUUGUCUUUUUCUUUAACCCUACAUUCUUGCUCUGCAGCAACUCAAUCCCCCAUUGUUCUGUUUUUCUAUACUAGGUUGUUAAUUAUGAAUGUCUGUAAUUUUGUGUAACUUUUUUUUAUUUCUUUGAAAAUUUAUUUACAUAAAGCAUAAAAUAUUUAUGUUGGAUAUAUAAUCUUUGGUAUAGAGUUAUAUCAUCAUCUACUAUCUCUCAGUAGCGUUCGUGGGAUCUAUUACAUGUAUCAAAUGACUGCAUAAUAUUUACCAUGGGCUACAUCUAUGAAUAUAAAUUAAAACUCACGUACCUACCUAUUAGGAGAAAGAGACUACAUUAAAACAUAAACACUACAUAAAACUCGUGUAUCUAUUACACUAUUAACUCAAAUAUGAUUUUACAUUUGAUUUAACAAACUCUCCUUAAUCCAUUUUACCAAAAUCUAACGACAACCAGAGAGAAUUGAGUCGGCAAUAGACACAGAAGUCUGUGACAUUGUGUUGCCCAUAGAGGAAGGAUAAGACAAAGGAAAGUCCUCAAAAAAUUCUUGGUACCCAAAAGUUAAUCCAGAAGAAGAUAAACUAAGCAAAGACAAAUCUGGCAAAGGUAUAUCCCUCUCCAAAUACUGCACAACUUGUCUCAUACAUGGUCUAGCCAAAGGUUCUGAAUGUGAACACAACAAUCCAAGUUUCAACACCAACUCCACCUCUUCAGACACAAAGUUUGUCCCCAAAUUUACAUCUUUUGCCUCAAGAAUAUCACCUCUUUUCCAACACUCAAAUACACAAUCAACCAAAAUUACACUUUCAUUUUCCCCAACAUUAGAAAUAGGCCUUCUACCACAAGCAACCUCAAGAAGAAAUGCACCAAAAGAAAACACAUCAGAAAAUUUAGUAGCCUUACCUGUUCUAAUAUGUUCCGGAGCAAGAUAACCAAUAGUUCCAGCCAAAUGAGUCGUGUGAUGAUCUGCACCAUGGUCAUACAACCUUGAAAGACCAAAAUCUCCCAAUCUAGCAUUAAAUUCAGAAUCUAACAACACAUUACUAGCUUUUAUGUCUCUAUGAAUUACAACUUUCUCCCAUUCUUCAUGAAGAUAAACCACGCCUGAAGCAACACCUUUGAUGAUUCUAAAUCUUUGACUCCAAUUCAACCUCACUUUUGGUUGGUUGUAUAAAUAUUUGUCUAAACUUCCAUUCGGCAUGUAAUCAUAAACCAAAAGUAACUCGCUUUUUCGCCUGCAAUAGCCAUGAAGUUGAACAAGAUUCCUCUGCCGAAGACGACCGAUACUAACAAUUUCCGACACAAAUUCCCUCAUCCCUUGUCUUGAUUCAUGAGACACCCUUUUCACAGCAACCUCAAGUUUGGAACUUGGUAACACACCUUUGUAGACUCUACCAAAUCCACCAACUCCCAGUAGCCCCUUUUCCCUGAAACCCUUUGUGGCAAAGUACAAAUCUUUGAACUUAAAUCUAUGUGGGCCAUAUUCUUGUUCCCAAUCUUCAAGAAUCUCAGCAAACUUCUUCCGUCUGAUAUAAUACAUAACCCCUAAAGUUAUCAUGAAUAUCAAACUUAUCAAAAUUAAAGGCAACCCAACAGUUAAAAAAUUUGAUUUCGUUUUCUCAGCUAAUACUGGUAACUCAGGAAGUUCAGAGAUUACAAGGUUUUGAGCUUGACCAUUAAUCUUAAAACUCCAACCAAGAAUAUAAUGAGAAGUUAGAAAUGAACCAGUAGCUGAUGAAAAUCCAACAUACAUACUAUUGUUAAGAAUUGGAGAAAGAUCUUUGGUCAAUGAUAACAAAGGUUGUUUUGGUUUAACAACAUUAAUUGGAGCUAAAGUAACAUCAAUCUUUUUCUUUUCACCAUCAUAUUCAAUCCAUACCUGCAUAGGAUAGCCACUGAUAAGGCUUAUAUUCUUGAAUUGACCAUUACCAUCAUAAUAUCCUGCAGGAGUUGAAUUAGCUGAUUUCAAAUCAUUGAUAUCAAUACCAACAUGGUUAUCAUUGAUAUCAUCAAACUCACGAUUUUCAAUAGUAUCAAGUUCAACACCAAAAACGUGGUUGCUAGGAUUUCCAUUGUUGGAAUCGUCAAAGAGACCAAGGUAUGAACCUUGGAGUGAAUUUGGUAGCCCUUUUGUAGGAGAAAGAACAAAAACAAUUCCAUGGCCACUAUAAGUUGGACCUUGAUGUCUUAUGGCAAAUACAAAAGUAGUUGAGAAUGAAGAAACACUUCCAUUGGAAGUGUUCUUCAAAACUAUAGGGUUUGGAUAGAAAGCAUGUGCUUUUUCUUGUUUGGUGUCAUUGGUGAGUCUUAGUAAGCCAUUGGAGGUUAAAUUAGCAAUACCAUCAAGAUACAAAUGAGAUGAUUGGAAAUCAUUAUAGAUGAAACUUUUGUCUUCACUUGGUACCAAUGUAACAAGAAAAAACAACAUAAACACAAGCCUGAGGAACAUGAUUAUAGUUUGUGAAUAAUAAUGCUUAUACAGUUCUGUUCAGUGUUUAUUAUUUAUUAUUUAUUAUGUAUAAGAUUUUGUCCUAGGUGAAGAAAAAAUUGCAAGUCUAAUUUGGGUCCUACUAAGAAAUGUCUUGGAACCUAACUUAGCUAUGAAUUAUCACCAAAAGAAACAUCAAAUGGUUACUAAAAUCGCGUAUCUCAUUUGGGUCCUACUAAGAAAUGUCUCAUUUAGUUUAGUAAAAAUGAACUCAUUUGGGACCAUUUGAAUAGUUGUGCACAUUUGAACUACCAAUUUUUUUCCCAACUGCACAUUUUCAAUGUUUACGUAUUGAGUGUUUGAUGCUAAAUUGAAUAUGUGAAAUUAAAACAUCAAUGUCGUCUAAUUUCUUCAAAUAAGCAUAGUUUUUUUUUUUAAGUUCACACUUGAAUGUGUGGAUUUGACCGAUUACUAUUGAUUAUCUAUGAUUUGCUUGGCUGCUAAGAAAAUGAUGAAUGAAUAAGUGGUGGAGGAUGCAUAAAGAUACCGUUGGUUUUGAAUCAAAAUUUCAUAUUUUUCUUCAUGGAAAAAUCGUAGGCCAAUUAAAGUCAGCCUGUUUCAUUGGUCAUAUGUGCUGGCAAGUUGCAGGGAGAUGGAGGUAAAUCACGAGGCAAUUUACUCAGGAUUGACAACUAUAAAAUUCAGUUUUUGACAUAUUUGUCGAGCAAUCUUUCUACUCUAAAUCAGAGAAUUUUUAAGGAAUUUAGAGGUUCAGAGUAACCUUAAAAAGUAACUUAAUAACAUAACUUUGUUCUCCAAAAACUUUACUGUCUUUUCAAUUUUCUGGUUCUUCUUCAUUUCUUGUCCACCACUUUAUCAUAGCUUCUGUUUUUCACAUAUGCCCACACGACCUAAAAUGAGCUUACCAUUUUUUCUACAAUGGAGCCAUCUCAACUUUUUCUCUGCUGUUUAUUUAAUUUAUUUAAUUCAGGGUUAAAAACCAUGUAAUGGACUAAUUUUAAAACCUAACUUUCUUUUUUAGGUGCUGCACUGUCUGUAAAGAGAAGUGACAUAUUGGCUCUUGCUAUAGGUAUGAUGGACUCUUUGAUCCUCUACAAUCAAUGAUUGGUUUAUUGUGUCAUUCACGGGUGAUAAUUCUGGAUGUCACAAUGAAUGUUGGGAUAAAAUGGUUUGUUUAAAUCGAGUAAAACUUCUGUUUCAUGAAUGGUGUGUUCAUCAACUGGUAACAAUUAUAGCAACUAUAGAAGAAAGGCUUAAGUGGGGUGUGGGUUUUCCUACUAUAGGUGUUUCAAUUGUUUUACAUGCACUGAGGCAUUCUUUAGAAUCAAGUGCAUUUCAGAUAUGGCUCAAUAAAUGUUAUAUUUGAUUUAGACUGAAUCACCAUUUAAGUCUAUAAAUUACAGGGGUUGAAAUUUUUAAUGUUAGUCCUUUUGGGUCGGUCAAUAUAGUCCUUGAAAUUGUCUUGAAGAUACUAAAGUGAUUGAAAAUUUUCAAUUUCAAUGAUCAUUUUAGAAUAUGUUAAUUUUAGGGGCUAGAUUGCAUGAUGUCGUGACCAAUACUAUUAUAAGACUGAAAUAGGUUAUUCGCUCUUUCGUUUUAUGUUAUUUGAUGUGUCUAUGCUAGGUGGUGCUUACCUAAAGAUUCUUGAUGGCUACAUUAGUUCAUAUGUUGUUGCUAUCUGAUGAAUGGAAAAUUUAAAUUUGUUGGUCGAGGGUUGAGUACCUCGAUUGGUUUGAGCUAAGGGUUAAGAAGUUGGAGGUCGUCUGUUCAAAUUUUGGUAAUGUCGACAUUGUCCAUGACAGUGAUUAUAAUUAUGAUGUGUUGUUCAAUUUUAAUAUUUAAGGCUCAUUCUACGCAUGCUGAUAACUUAAUCCUGCCAAGCCCUGUAUAUUAACAUUGAUUAGUUGCUCAAUAUUACAGGUGGAUAUCUAAGCUGUAUUUCGAUGAUAUUCUAGAAAAUACAGAAGCAAAUAUAUGUCUUGUUAUCGAUGCUCGUAUUUGGAGGAUUCUAUAAAUUGAGCCAUCUUCUGCUGCUAGUUCAGGUUGAAGUUGAACUAGUGAUAAAUGAUAAAAAUAAACUAAUGUUGUGCAAAAUUAGUUCAGUGUUGCUUGUAGCUAAAAUGUUAUGCUGCCAUGC
This 12757-nucleotide long non-coding RNA is filed under the name Medicago truncatula (barrel medic). Its description in RNAcentral is "long non-coding RNA (MTRU_LNC005178)". Lineage: Eukaryota; Viridiplantae; Streptophyta; Magnoliopsida; Fabales; Fabaceae. The record is from RNAcentral.